UUUUAAUUCGUGAAGCCUCCUAACAAAUGUCAUAUUAAAAGGUCAAGGAAAAAAACCCAUCAUUCUAGGUACAUUAAAAUUGACAUUUUCACACUAUUUUAAGAUUGGAUAUGCCAUUAAAUCAGAACAAAACGCUUAUAGAUGGAAUCGACAAAACAUCAGGAAACUAAUUAGGAGCAAUAGAAGUGGAAGGUACCCACGUAAUCGAGAGCGAAGCAUGAGGCCAUUUUAGAACAUCGAUGAAGGUAACAGAGCGCACUGAAACCUAAAUUUGGAGCGCUGAUAGGGCAUCACCCAUUGCUUUUCAAUAUAGGGCUUCUCAUAGAUAGCCCCCGAAGAGAGAGAGACUCCCGAGCGCGGUUUAAACAAUCGCCCGCCACCAAACUAUGUUUUCACCCUAUGUUUAAACAAUGUUUAAACAAUCGAGAAGCAGUUCCCAUGUGAAACUAUGUUUUCACCCUAAGAUUUAAGGAUGCACCUCGGCAAUCCAUCGGCAAAGGUUAUUUUAAUGUCGAAAAACCAUUUAAUUGAUCAUCUCGACCUCUACAGAUGCACCUCGACGAUCCAUCGGCAAAGGUUAUUUUAAUGUUAGAAAAAC
Molecule: long non-coding RNA, 598 nt
Filed under: Amborella trichopoda
Lineage: Eukaryota; Viridiplantae; Streptophyta; Magnoliopsida; Amborellales; Amborellaceae
Description: long non-coding RNA (ATRI_LNC001286)
Source: RNAcentral